Molecule: ribosomal RNA, 428 nt
Filed under: uncultured bacterium
Lineage: Bacteria
Description: partial 16S ribosomal RNA
Rfam family: Bacterial small subunit ribosomal RNA
Source: RNAcentral
GUAGGGAAUAUUGCGCAAUGGACGAAAGUCUGACGCAGCGACGCCGCGUGAGUGAUGAAGGCCUUAGGGUCGUAAAGCUCUGUUGAAUGGGAAGAAAAAAAUGACGGUACCAUUCGAGGAAGGACCGGCUAACUUCGUGCCAGCAGCCGCGGUAAUACGAGGGGGCCUAGCGUUGUUCGGAAUCAUUGGGCGUAAAGGGUGUGUAGGUGGCCAUGUAAGUCAGGUGUGAAAGCCCCGGGCUCAACCCGGGAAGUGCACUUGAUACUGCGUGGCUUGAGUACCGAAGAGGGUAGUGGAAUUCCAGGUGUAGUGGUGAAAUACGUAGAUAUCUGGAGGAACACCGGUGGCGAAGGCGGCUACCUGGUCGAGUACUGACACUGAGACACGAAAGCAUGGGGAUCAAACAGGAUUAGAAACCCUUGUAGUCC